CACGUAGGGCGCAAGCGUUGUCCGGAAUUACUGGGCGUAAAGCGCGCGUAGGCGGACCUGCAAGUCGGGGGUGAAAGCCCGAGGCUCAACCUCGGAACUGCCUUCGAUACUGCGGGUCUCGAGUCCGGGAGAGGUGAGUGGAAUUCCUAGUGUAGAGGUGAAAUUCGUAGAUAUUAGGAAGAACACCAGUGGCGAAGGCGGCUCACUGGCCCGGUACUGACGCUGAGGUGCGAAAGCGUGGGGAGCAAACAGG
This 253-nucleotide ribosomal RNA is filed under the name uncultured bacterium. Its description in RNAcentral is "partial 16S ribosomal RNA". It matches the Rfam family "Bacterial small subunit ribosomal RNA", at positions 524 to 776 of the family's 1533-position model. The record is from RNAcentral.